AGACGUCUACAUUAGAUACCCUGUAGUCCCAGCCGUAAACUAUGCGCGUUAGGUGUAUCGGUGACCACGAGUUACCGAGGUGCCGAAGGGAAACCGUGAAACGUGCCGCCUGGGAAGUACGGUCGCAAGGCUGAAACUUAAAGGAAUUGGCGGGGAGCACCACAACAGGUGGAGCCUGCGGUUUAAUUGGAUUCAACGCCGGACAUCUCACCGGAUAAGACAGCUGAAUGAUUGUCGGGCUGAAGACUCUGCAUGACUAGCUG
This 263-nucleotide ribosomal RNA is filed under the name uncultured archaeon. RNAcentral's name for it is "partial 16S ribosomal RNA". It matches the Rfam family "Archaeal small subunit ribosomal RNA", at positions 717 to 982 of the family's 1478-position model. The record is from RNAcentral.